This 1402-nucleotide ribosomal RNA is filed under the name uncultured bacterium. RNAcentral describes it as "bacterial SSU rRNA". It matches the Rfam family "Bacterial small subunit ribosomal RNA". The record is from RNAcentral.
AGAGUUUGAUCCUGGCUCAGGAUGAACUGCUAGCGAUAGGCUUAACACAUGCAAGUCGAGGGGCAGCAUUAUCAAAGCUUGCUUUGAUAGAUGGCGACCGGCGCACGGGUGCCUAACACGUAUGCAACUUGCCCAUAAAUCGUGGAUAACCCGGAGAAAUUCGGACUAAUACUCGAUGGUAUUAUUAAGAGGCAUCUUUUAAUAAUUAAAGAUUUAUCGAUUAUGGAUAGGCAUGCGCAUGAUUAGCUAGUUGGUGGGGUAACGGCUCACCAAGGCGACGAUCAUUAGGGGUUCUGAGAGGAAGGUCCCCCACACUGGUACUGAGACACGGACCAGACUCCUACGGGAGGCAGCAGUGAGGAAUAUUGGUCAAUGGACGAGAGUCUGAACCAGCCAAAUCGCGUGAAGGAAGACUGCCCUAAGGGUUGUAAUCUUCUUUUGUGUGGGAAUAAAAAGAGGGACGUGUCCCUCAUUGUAUGUACCAUACGAAUAAGGAUCGGCUAACUCCGUGCCAGCAGCCGCGGUAAUACGGAGGAUCCGAGCGUUAUCCGGAUUUAUUGGGUUUAAAGGGUGCGUAGGCGGGAGAUCAAGUCAGUGGUGAAAUGGUGUGGCUCAACCAUAGCAUUGCCGUUGAAACUGGUUUUCUUGAGUGUAAAUGAGGUAAGCGGAAUGUGUUGUGUAGCGGUGAAAUGCAUAGAUAUGACACAGAACUCCAAUUGCGAAGGCAGCUUACUGGGAUACAACUGACGCUGAGGCACGAAAGCGUGGGGAGCAAACAGGAUUAGAUACCCUGGUAGUCCACGCAGUAAACGAUGAUUACUAGCUGUUUGGGAUAUAAUGUAAGUGGCUAAGGGAAACCGAUAAGUAAUCCUCCUGGGGAGUACGUUCGCAAGCAAUGAAACUCAUAGGAAUUGACGGGGGCCCGCACAAGCGGACGAACAUGUGGUUUAAUUCGAUGAUACGCGAGGAACCUUCCCCGGGCUUGAAAUGCAGAAGACGAAUCAAGAAACUGAUUUUCCAGCAACGGUUUCUGUGUAGGUGCUCCAUAGUUGUCGUCAGCUCGUGCCGUGAGGUGUCGGCUUAAGUGCCAUAACGAGCGCAACCCUUCCCACUAGUUACUAACAGGUAGCGCUGAGGCCUUUAAUCGGACUGCCACCGCAAGGUGUGAGGAAGGUGGGGAUGACGUCAAAUCAGCCCGGCCCUUACGUCCGGGGCGACACCCGUGUUACAAUGGGUGGGACCGAAAGUGGGUAAGUGGUGACACAGCGGUAAUCUCCAAACCCUCUUUCAGUUUGGAUCGGAGUCUGCAACUUGACUCCGUGAAGCUGGAUUCGCUAGUAAUCGCGCAUCAGCCAUGGCGCGGUGAAUACGUUCCCGGGCCUUGCACUCACAGCCCGUCAAG